GAACGAGAAAGUGGAGCAAUCCAUGAGUAAAGUGGCGACCGGGUGAGUAACACGUGACUAACCUGCCCUCGAGUGGGGGAUAACCUCGGGAAACCGGGGCUAAUACCGCAUAACGUCUCCAGAUCAAAGGAGCAAUCCGCUUAAAGAGGGGGUCGCGGCCGAUUAGCUAGUUGGUGAGGUAACGGCCCACCAAGGCGAUGAUCGGUAGCCGGCCUGAGAGGGCGCACGGCCACACUGGAACUGAAACACGGUCCAGACUCCUACGGGAGGCAGCAGUGGGGAAUUUUGCGCAAUGGGGGAAACCCUGACGCAGCAACGCCGCGUGGAGGAUGAAGUCCCUNUGGGGUGUAAACUCCUUUCGAUCGGGACGAUAAUGACGGUACCGGAUGAAGAAGCACCGGCUAACUCUGUG
RNAcentral lists this ribosomal RNA (412 nucleotides) under uncultured bacterium. RNAcentral describes it as "bacterial SSU rRNA". It matches the Rfam family "Bacterial small subunit ribosomal RNA", at positions 64 to 507 of the family's 1533-position model. The record is from RNAcentral.